Molecule: ribosomal RNA, 673 nt
Filed under: uncultured bacterium
Lineage: Bacteria
Description: bacterial SSU rRNA
Rfam family: Bacterial small subunit ribosomal RNA
Source: RNAcentral
CAGUCGAACGAAGUUUUUCUUUCGGGAGGAACUUAGUGGCGGACGGGUGAGUAUCGCGUGGGUAACCUGCCCUGUACAGGGGGACAACAGCUGGAAACGGCUGCUAAUACCGCAUAAGCCCUUAGCACUGCAUGGUGCAUAGGGAAAAGGAGUAAUCCGGUACAGGAUGGACCCGCGUCUGAUUAGCCAGUUGGCAGGGUAACGGCCUACCAAAGCGACGAUCAGUAGCCGAUCUGAGAGGAUGUACGGCCACAUUGGGACUGAGACACGGCCCAGACUCCUACGGGAGGCAGCAGUGGGGAAUAUUGCACAAUGGAGGAAACUCUGAUGCAGCGACGCCGCGUGAGUGAAGAAGUAUUUCGGUAUGUAAAGCUCUAUCAGCAGGGAAGAAAAUGAUGGUACCUGACUAAGAAGCACCGGCUAAAUACGUGCCAGCAGCCGCGGUAAUACGUAUGGUGCAAGCGUUAUCCGGAUUUACUGGGUGUAAAGGGAGCGUAGGUGGCAAGGCAAGCCAGAAGUGAAAACCCGGGGCUCAACCGCGGGAUUGCUUUUGGAACUGUCAUGCUAGAGUGCAGGAGGGGUGAGCGGAAUUCCUAGUGUAGCGGUGAAAUGCGUAGAUAUUAGGAGGAACACCGGAGGCGAAGGCGGCUCACUGGACUGUAACUGACACUGA